CUGGUAGUAGAAGGUAGUUAGUUAGAGGUGUUAGGAGAGUAAGUGCUCUUUGAAGAGCUCUGUCUUCAGGAGUUUAUUAAAGAUAGAGAGAGAUUCUCCUGAUCUGGUAGUAGAAGGUAGUUAGUUAGAGGUGUUAGGAGAGUAAGUGCUCUUUGAAGAGCUCUGUCUUCAGGAGUCUCUUAAAGAUAGUGAGGGAUUCUCCUGAUCUGGUAGUAGAAGGUAGUUAGUUAGAGGUGUUAAGAGAGUAAGUACUCUUUGAAGAGCUCUGUCUUCAGGAGUUUCUUAAAGAUAGCGAGAGAUUCUCCUGAUCUGGUAGUAGAAGGUAGUUAGUUAGAGGUGUUAGGAGAGUAAGUACUCUUUGAAGAGCUCUGUCUUCAGGAGUUUCUUAAAGAUAGCGAGAGAUUCUCCUGAUCUGGUAGUAGAAGGUAGUUUGUUCCACCAUUGGGGAACUCUGUAUGAGAACAGUCUGGAUUGCUUUGUGUGAAUGUUUGGUAAAGCGAGGCGACGUUCAUUGGAGGAGCGCAGCGGCCGGGAGGUAGCGUAAGCCUUCAGGAGCGAGUGCAGGUAGGAAGGAGCCUGUACUGUCAUCACCUUGUAGGCGAUUGUAAGAGCUUUGAAUUUGAUGCGAGCAUCAACUGG
Astyanax mexicanus (Mexican tetra) is the source of this 639-nucleotide long non-coding RNA. RefSeq lists it as uncharacterized. The transcript is spliced from 3 exons. NCBI's taxonomy places the organism in Eukaryota, Metazoa, Chordata, Actinopteri, Characiformes, Acestrorhamphidae. The record is from RefSeq and is a predicted model, not a curated record.